This 253-nucleotide ribosomal RNA is filed under the name uncultured bacterium. RNAcentral describes it as "partial 16S ribosomal RNA". It matches the Rfam family "Bacterial small subunit ribosomal RNA", at positions 524 to 776 of the family's 1533-position model. The record is from RNAcentral.
UACGUAGGUGGCAAGCGUUGUCCGGAUUUACUGGGCGUAAAGAGCGCGCAGGCGGUCGGAUUAGUCGCGUGUGAAAGCCCCCGGCUCAACUGGGGAGGGUCACGCGAUACUGUUCGACUCGAAGGCAGGAGAGGGAAGUGGAAUUCCCGGUGUAGUGGUGAAAUGCGUAGAUAUCGGGAGGAACACCAGUGGCGAAGGCGGCUCACUGGACCGGAACUGACGCUGAGGCGCGAAAGCGUGGGGAGCAAACAGG